UGAGGAAUAUUGGGCAAUGCCCGCAAGGGUGACCCAGCAACGCCGCGUGGAGGAUGAAUGUCGUAAGAUUGUAAACUCCUGUUAGAGGGGAAGAAUAGUACCGGUUGGACCGGUAUAUGACUGUACCCUCAGAGAAAGCCCCGGCUAACUACGUGCCAGCAGCCGCGGUAAUACGUAGGACCCAAGCGUUGUCCGGAUUUACUGGGUGUAAAGGGUGCGCAGGCGGAUGGGUAAGUCAGGGGUGAAAGUCUGCAGCUUAACUGUAGAAUUGCCUUUGAUACUGCUCAUCUUGAGUGUGGGAGAGGUUGAUGGAAUUCCAGGUGUAGCAGUGAAAUGCGUAGAUAUCUGGAAGAACACCAGUGGCGAAGGCGGUCAACUGGCCCAUAACUGACGCUCAUGCACGAAAGCGUGGGGAGCAAACA
Molecule: ribosomal RNA, 422 nt
Filed under: uncultured bacterium
Lineage: Bacteria
Description: bacterial SSU rRNA
Rfam family: Bacterial small subunit ribosomal RNA
Source: RNAcentral